AGGGAAAGAGGGAGGAAGGCAGAACACAUGCAAGUCGAGCGGAUGAAGGGAGCUUGCUCCUGGAUUCAGCGGCGGACGGGUGAGUAAUGCCUAGGAAUCUGCCUGGUAGUGGGGGAUAACGUCCGGAAACGGGCGCUAAUACCGCAUACGUCCUGAGGGAGAAAGUGGGGGAUCUUCGGACCUCACGCUAUCAGAUGAGCCUAGGUCGGAUUAGCUAGUUGGUGGGGUAAAGGCCUACCAAGGCGACGAUCCGUAACUGGUCUGAGAGGAUGAUCAGUCACACUGGAACUGAGACACGGUCCAGACUCCUACGGGAGGCAGCAGUGGGGAAUAUUGGACAAUGGGCGAAAGCCUGAUCCAGCCAUGCCGCGUGUGUGAAGAAGGUCUUCGGAUUGUAAAGCACUUUAAGUUGGGAGGAAGGGCAGUAAGUUAAUACCUUGCUGUUUUGACGUUACCAACAGAAUAAGCACCGGCUAACUUCGUG
This 484-nucleotide ribosomal RNA is filed under the name uncultured bacterium. RNAcentral's name for it is "partial 16S ribosomal RNA". It matches the Rfam family "Bacterial small subunit ribosomal RNA", at positions 38 to 507 of the family's 1533-position model. The record is from RNAcentral.